This 24-nucleotide non-coding RNA is filed under the name Arabidopsis thaliana (thale cress). Lineage: Eukaryota; Viridiplantae; Streptophyta; Magnoliopsida; Brassicales; Brassicaceae. The record is from RNAcentral.
GCUGCAGCUUAGGACAAUUCGGCC